Molecule: long non-coding RNA, 2201 nt
Organism: Mugil cephalus (flathead mullet)
Lineage: Eukaryota; Metazoa; Chordata; Actinopteri; Mugiliformes; Mugilidae
Exons: 3
Source: RefSeq, a predicted model, not a curated record
AAAAACAGAUCCACCCAAGACCCCAGCACCCUUGUCAUCACCGGGCCUACUACGACCCCACCGCGGUCAGCCGCUGGUGUAGUAGGAGGAGCUUACACCUCAGCUGCUCCAGAAACUCCUGUCCCUGCGACAAAAACUCCUGUCCCUGCAGCAACAAAUCUUCUCCCUGUGACACCAGCGACUGCUUCUGCGGCAACAGCUUCUGUCCCUGAGACAAAAACGCCUGUCGUUGUGAUAGCAGCGACUGCUUCUGUGGCAACAGCUUCUGUCCCUGAGACAAAAACGCCUGUCGUUGUGAUAGCAGCGACUGCUUCUGUUGCACCAGACGUUGUCACUGCUCCUCGUGCUAAGGGGCAUGAAACCACCACUCAGCCAGCAGGUACUGAGGUCACAGCCGAGGCGACAAAAGCAAUGAUAACGGGGGAAAAUGAUGAGUUCGUUGGAAGCGACCAAGAACACGACUCAAGCACUGGCAAGGUGAUCGGCAUUGUGAUCGGCGCCCUGGUGUCGGUGGCCAUCAUCGUCGCCGUGGUGCUUGCCUUUCUGAGGAGAAUGGGCAAAUACUCCCCCUGAGGAAAAAGUCGGCCAAGCAGCAGGAACGAGCGAAGUUCUGGAAAUUCUGAACUACUGAACUGUGACGACUCCUCUGAUCAUUAAAGCAAGCACGACACCAGAACUAAACUAAUCUAACCUGGACUCUGGACUGUUGCCAAGAAAGUAAAAAAAAAAAAGAAAAAGAAAAAAAAAGGAGGGAGAAGGGGCAGGUUUGUGUGUGUUAAUGUAUAUACUGAAUGUACGCGAGACAAGAGGGGUAGAUGUGCCAACAUCCUCACCUCCCCUGCUAACCUCUCUGAUCCCUAGGAGCUGCUGAUAUAAAAGGCUCCGACUCCCCCACGCACCCCUUGAAGAGAACAAAACAAUGUGACAGCUGGAUGUCACAAAGAAUUUCAGGGCUUUUCAAAUGUAUUUUGUAGGGAAAAGAAAAACGAGAGAGCAGAAGGGGAUUAUCUGAAAUGUAGGGGAAAGAAAAAAAAUACUCUCCUUGAACGUUACGUAGUGACUGAUUUAGAUUAAUGUCGAAGUUGGAGGUGAGACGAUUUUUAAAAAAAAUAAAUAAAAAUGGAAAAAGCUAACAAAAUGUGUCGCACAAAGAAGGAAAGAAAGCAGGAAAACUUUUUACAAAUUCCACAGAUGUAUAUACAAUCCUAAGGGGCCUACAAUAGUAUACGGCUAAUAACUUUCUCAUAUGUUGCAGUUGCAUAGGUUAGCAUUUGAUAUUAUCGAUGAUUACGCGAGCGGCCUUAGGCUAUUGUUGCGGCUGAGCACCGGUUCGAGCAUUUUCUCCCUGACUUGUCGGCCAACUGUAUGAAGCACCGCGUGCAGAAGUUGUCCUGACAUAACGCUCAUGAGCUCCGAGGGGUUAGCCCGACGAGGAGUUAAAAAAAAAGAAAAAAAAAAGGGCGCCCUCAUUUGCAAGAGUAACGUGACAUUCUGCCCACUUUAACACUGACGUAUAAAAACCUAAUACAUAUCUGUGAAAUUUAGCAGAAGGGUUUGUGCCACUGUCUCUGGUAUUCUCUAGCUAGCUAGGAGGAUUUUAACUUUUGAAGUGCGUUAUUAAUGUGAAUUGUGACCGCCACCCCCAUUCCAGCCAACUUGGAUGACAGCUUGGCUUGUUCAUUAUGAAGGUUUUCACACUGACAGUGGUUGUUGGACACAGCGACAGCGUUGUCCUGACGAUGCAUUCGUAGUACCUCUGUUAAUAAUUCGAUUACCAGAACAGCCGCCCAGUGUUUAAAUUCAACUAACCCCAGAUUCCGUUCAUAGACAUGACAUUUUUUUAGUUGCACUUAGUUUCACAGUGCACAGUGUUAGGCAGUUUGCUCUCUUUUGUUAUUUUUGCAAUUGUUCGUGUGCUUAAUGGAUGUGCUGGUGAUUGAGUCUCAGCAUCGCCCCCCCCCGCUUGCUUUUCAGACUUAAUAUGUGCACUGAAUGAGAGGUGUGUUAUGUUUAAUGACUAGGCUUUAGACACUGCAAAUGUUUGCAACGAUAUAAAGUACGUCCGUCUCCUCCCUUCUGCUUUUGCCACAUUACAAUAGUGCCAUCUCAAGUCUUUUAAUUUGUGCAUUGUGAUUUGUGGAAACCUUUAAUUUAAUUGCAGUGUUUCUGUCCUGUUUCAAUAAAAACUCAAAAACGCAAAA